GCGAUACUUCUGCAGAUUCGCCCUUAGAGUUUGAUCCUGGCUCAGAGCGACGCUGGCGGCAGGCCUAACACAUGCAAGUCGAGCGCCGUAGCAAUACGGAGCGGCUGACGGGAGAGUAACACGUGGGAACGUACCCUUCAUUACGGAACAACCAAGGGAAACUUUGGCUAAUACCGUAUACGUCCGUCAGGAGAAAGAUUUAUCGCUGAAGGAUCGGCCCGCGUCUGAUUAGCUUGUUGGUGAGGUAACGGCUCACCAAGGCGACUAUCAGUAGCUGGUCUGAGAGGAUGAUGAUCCUCACUGGGACUGAGACACGGCCCAGACUCCUACCGGAGGCACUAAUGGGGAAUAUUGAACAAUGGGGGCAGGCCUGAUCCAGCCAUGCCGCGUGAGUGAUGAAGGCCCUAGGGUUGUAAAGCUCUUUUGUGCGGGAAGAUAAUGACUGUACCGCUCGAAUAAGCCCCGGCAUACUUCCUGCCAGCAGCCGCGGUAAUACGAAGGGGGCUAGCGUUGCUCGGAAUCACUGGGCGUAGAGGGUGCGUAUGCUGGUCAUUAAGUCACGUGUGAAAUCCUGGAGCUCAACUCCAGAACUGCCUUGGAUACUGAAGAUCUUGAGCUCGAGAUACGUGAGAGGCACUGCAACUGUAGAUGUGAAAUUCGUAGAUGUACCCACGAACACCAGUGGCGAAUGCGGCUCACUGGGCCGAUACUGACGCUGAAGAACGAAAGCGUGGGGAGCAAACAGGAUCUGAUACCCUGGUAGUUCGCGCCGUAAACGAUUGAUGCCCCCGUAGUUGCGUUACUCAAUAAUGGAGCAGCUACGCUGUUAAGCAUCCGCUAGGGAGUCGUCGCAGAUUACAAUUCAACGAGUGACGGGUCGGCAGCAGUGACAGAUGUUAGUGCACGCACGCGAGGACUUACCAGCUUGUAAUAGCGACGCGGAAUCUAAAUGAAUGCUCAGGUCC
RNAcentral lists this ribosomal RNA (965 nucleotides) under uncultured soil bacterium. Its description in RNAcentral is "partial small subunit ribosomal RNA". It matches the Rfam family "Bacterial small subunit ribosomal RNA", at positions 1 to 1016 of the family's 1533-position model. The record is from RNAcentral.